GAUGAACGCUAGCGGAAGGCUUAAUACAUGCAAGUCGAGCGGUAGGUGGCUUCGGCCAUUGAGAGCGGCGCACGGGUGAGUAACGCGUACAUGACCUGCCUGUCAGAAGGGGAUAGCCCUGGGAAACUGGGAUUAAUACCCUAUGGUAUUGAUAUUAUGAAUGAUAUCAAUUAAAGUUGAGGCGCUGACAGAUGGAUGUGCGUCUGAUUAGCUAGUUGGUAGGGUAACGGCCUACCAAGGCGACGAUCAGUAGGGGGCGUGAGAGCGUGGUCCCCCACACGGGUACUGAGACACGGACCCGACUCCUACGGGAGGCAGCAGUAAGGAAUAUUGGUCAAUGCCCGCAAGGGUGAACCAGCCAUUCCGCGUGGAGGAUGAAGGCCCUAUGGGUUGUAAACUUCUUUUAGAUGGGAAGAAAAUGCUAGAUGUAUCUGGUACUGACGGUACCAUCAGAAUAAGCACCGGCUAACUCCGUAGCC
This 479-nucleotide ribosomal RNA is filed under the name uncultured bacterium. Its description in RNAcentral is "bacterial SSU rRNA". It matches the Rfam family "Bacterial small subunit ribosomal RNA", at positions 28 to 510 of the family's 1533-position model. The record is from RNAcentral.